GGCGGUUCUUGGGUGAUGCACCCUGGAAUCGGGCUCCUUCCUCUCUGGUUCCGGGUGUGUCACCCAAGAACCACA
Myotis lucifugus (little brown bat) is the source of this 75-nucleotide non-coding RNA. The record is from Rfam. Lineage: Eukaryota; Metazoa; Chordata; Mammalia; Chiroptera; Vespertilionidae.